Long non-coding RNA from Solanum lycopersicum (tomato), 690 nucleotides. RefSeq lists it as uncharacterized. NCBI's taxonomy places the organism in Eukaryota, Viridiplantae, Streptophyta, Magnoliopsida, Solanales, Solanaceae. The record is from RefSeq and is a predicted model, not a curated record.
AACAUUAACUUUUUCACUUCACUUUACUCUUUCACUGCACUUUCUUCGUUCAGCUUUCCUCCUUCACAUUUCCAUCCAGAUUUUUGAUUAACCAAAGAGAUUAUGAACCAAGCUGAAGAGAGGUGAAGAUAGCUGAAGAACCGAUUCUCCUUUCUGAUACACGCUGAAGAGUUGAGUUAAAGAGUUGCAGUCAUCAAAGAACUCAUAUCUCAAGUCGUCUUCUCCAAAUAACAAUUUUUUGAAGAGCAAGAAUGAAUAUUUUUGGGUUGUUGGCAAGAUGAUGAAUUGAAGCUAAUUAGUCUCUCUGUCACACUUUUCUCUCAAGUUUCUCACUGAAGAACACAAUUUCAAACAGAUUUUGUUGGAGUAGGCUUUAUCAUUUUUCCCAAUCUUUGUUCGAGUUCGUGAUUCUGCCCAGAAUUCUCAUCCGUUGUUAGUGUUCAAGUUUCUUGGUAAAGAUCGUUUCCCUGCUCGUCCCGUUCCAGUUCACUACCUGAAGAAAGACCUCAUUCGAAGAGCUGAAGGACGGAAGCUGAAGAACUGAUUUCAUCAAAUUUGUUUACUAGAGGAAUUGAUAUUCAAGCAGUUAACGUUGUUAUCAAUUCUGAUUUUCCUAAGAACUCAGAAACGUAUUUGCACAGGGGAAAUGGAGGUGAUCAAAUUUGAAGUGGAUGAUGAAGAGCUUUUGAA